GCCAGCUUGGCGUAGUGGUUUGACUGUUGGACUCUGACUCCAGAGACCAGGGUUCAAAUCCCACCUCAGGCA
Molecule: non-coding RNA, 72 nt
Organism: Phrynosoma platyrhinos (Desert horned lizard)
Lineage: Eukaryota; Metazoa; Chordata; Lepidosauria; Squamata; Phrynosomatidae
Source: the annotation of a GenBank genome assembly